UACGUAGGGGCAGCAGUCGUUCGUUCGAUUUGUGGCGUAAAGAGCGUGUAGGCGGCUUUGCAGGUCCGCUGUGAAAACUCGAGGCUCAACCUCGAGCUGUCGGUGGAAACCGUAAAGCUAGAGUCCGGAAGAGGAGAGUGGAAUUCCCGGCGUAGCGGUGAAAUGCGCAGAUAUCGGGAAGAACACCCGUGGCGAAGGCGGCUCUCUGGGACGGUACUGACGCUGAGACGCGAAAAGCGUGGGGAGCGAACAGG
RNAcentral lists this ribosomal RNA (254 nucleotides) under uncultured bacterium. RNAcentral's name for it is "partial 16S ribosomal RNA". It matches the Rfam family "Bacterial small subunit ribosomal RNA", at positions 524 to 776 of the family's 1533-position model. The record is from RNAcentral.